CCAUACUACCCUGAGCAUGUCUGAUUUUUUAUGAUCUUAGAAGCUAAGCAAGGUUGGGCCUUCUUAGCACUUUGAUAGAAAAAAAGGGAUAUAACUUAAUCUCAGACACCCAGUGAGAACUAGGGGG
This 127-nucleotide ribosomal RNA is filed under the name Meriones unguiculatus (Mongolian gerbil). Lineage: Eukaryota; Metazoa; Chordata; Mammalia; Rodentia; Muridae. The record is from RNAcentral.